RNAcentral lists this ribosomal RNA (301 nucleotides) under uncultured bacterium. RNAcentral's name for it is "partial 16S ribosomal RNA". It matches the Rfam family "Bacterial small subunit ribosomal RNA", at positions 509 to 807 of the family's 1533-position model. The record is from RNAcentral.
CAGUCGCCGCGGUAAUACGAAGGUGGCAAGCGUUGUCCGGAAUUAUUGGGCGUAAAGGGCUCGCAGGCGGUUUCUUAAGUCUGAUGUGAAAGCCCCCGGCUCAACCGGGGAGGGUCAUUGGAAACUGGGAAACUUGAGUGCAGAGGAGGAGAGUGGAAUUCCACGUGUAGCGGUGAAAUGCGUAGAGAUGUGGAGGAACACCAGUGGCGAAGGCGACUCUCUGGUCUGUAACUGACGCUGAGGAGCGAAAGCGUGGGGAGCGAACAGGAUUAGAUACCCCUGUAGUCCCUGUCUCUUAUAC